This 1060-nucleotide long non-coding RNA is filed under the name Scleropages formosus (Asian bonytongue). RNAcentral's name for it is "lncRNA (ENSSFOG00015026005.1)". The record is from RNAcentral. Lineage: Eukaryota; Metazoa; Chordata; Actinopteri; Osteoglossiformes; Osteoglossidae.
GAGCCAUAAAUAGCUGUGCGUGUAGCGCUGAGCAGUAAACAAGCGUAAACACAGGAAACGCACAGAGCGACCAUCGAGAGCUCAGCGUUUCCUGGUAGCAACUCAAAGUGCUGCUCAUCCUCAGCGAUGACCUUCAUAGCCUGAAACCUCCAUUGAGGUUCUCUGCUCGUUUCUGAAAGUACUCUGAAAAUGAGGAAGGAAACAGGCAGCAAUGAUACGCUUCAUCAAGGGGGAUGGCACUUCCGCACCCAUUUUUCUCUAGCCUCCUCUCGCGUUGGACUACCUUGCUUAUUGGUUGCGAGUGCUUCUCCUACAAAACCCAUCCACGCCUCUAAGGUGAGGGCCCGAGAAGGUGGGGUGGGGGAGGGGCCGACUUGAAGAAGACCUCUCUGCGGUCUCUCCCGGGACUAUGAGAAAUACGGGAGAGGGGGAACACAGGCGCUCUUUGUUCGCACUCGAUGGGGACCGAUGAAUGGAGGCUUCCCGCUUGAUGUGAGCUCCCAGAUGCUUGACCUUCAAGCUCUAGGUCAUCCCAGGCCCUUUCCGCUGUCCCACACCUCUCUUUCGGUUAGCUCCCAGUUGUACGGCCAAAGGCUGAGCGACAGCUCAUAUUGGCUGUCAAAGGAACUCAAAGUGAGGGUUAAAUGGGCAAUUCAGGGCGAGACAGUUGCUUUAUUAAGUAAUCCAAAUAACCACCCAAACAAAUUCCACCCCCCAAAUAACCAAGGUACGCGUCCAUGUCCUUCCCUCUCCGAAAACGCUCCACUUUUAUUAUAUUAUAAAGACCCGCACUGCCGAAGGGUGCUCCCUUCCAGCAGGAGCUACUAUUCAUUGUCAAUAGUUGAUGGGAACAAGAAUUGCGGGGAUAUGUAAAAUAGUCGUCCGACUGCAGAGGGGACUGCGAGGGCCCAUAAGGUGGUGAGCACAUGUUCGUUGGUGUAAAAGGCAGGCUUGAGGUGCAGGUAUUUAAGAAAGGUUCAUUGGACCAAGAGCAGUCUUUACUUUGUACUUCUUAACACCGCUCACUGUGCGCUGGUGUUGUAAUAAACGUUCGUGACGG